Molecule: ribosomal RNA, 476 nt
Filed under: Amblyosyllis sp. 4 DLB-2019
Lineage: Eukaryota; Metazoa; Annelida; Polychaeta; Phyllodocida; Syllidae
Description: partial 16S ribosomal RNA
Rfam family: Archaeal large subunit ribosomal RNA
Source: RNAcentral
UGCCUUUUGAACCCCAUAAAAAGGUAAGCCCUGCCCAGUGAGAUUUUCAACGGCCGCGGUAUCCUGACCGUGCAAAGGUAGCAUAAUCAUUUGCCCCUUAAUUAGGGGCUAGAAUGAAUGGGUAAACUAAACUUCCCUGUCUCCUUAGAAAAAAUAAAAAUUUACUUAUUAGUGAAGAGGCUAAUAUGACCUUAAAAGACAAGAAGACCCUAUAGAGCUUAUCUUUAUCUUUAUUAUAAAAGAAACAAGGUUUUGCUGGGGCGACACAGGAAAAUGAAAAUCUUCCUUUAAACAGAGGCUAAUAAGCCUUAUUCUACACCCUUAGAAAAGGAUAGAAAAAAGCUACCUUAGGGAUAACAGGCUAAUUCCCCUUAAGAGCUCUAAUCGACAGGGGAGCUUGGCACCUCGAUGUUGGCUUAAGGUCCCUCUAUUGCGCAGAAGUAAUAAUAGGUGGUUUGUUCAACCAAUAAAUCCUU